RNAcentral lists this ribosomal RNA (255 nucleotides) under uncultured bacterium. RNAcentral's name for it is "partial 16S ribosomal RNA". It matches the Rfam family "Bacterial small subunit ribosomal RNA", at positions 524 to 776 of the family's 1533-position model. The record is from RNAcentral.
UACGUAGGGCGCAAGCGUUAUCCGGAAUUAUUGGGCGUAAAGAGCUCGUAGGCGGCCUGUCGCGUCGGGAGUGAAAGCCCACUGCUUAACGGUGGGUCUGCUUCCGGUACGGGCGGGCUGGAGUAUGGCAGGGGAGACUGGAAUUCCUGGUGUAGCGGUGGAAUGCGCAGAUAUCAGGAGGAACACCGGUGGCGAAGGCGGGUCUCUGGGCCGGAUACUGACGCUGAGGAGCGAAAGCGUGGGGGAGCGAACAGG